AGAAGCUCAAUGAAUUCUAGACACAAAAAUAUGAAGAAAACUACAUGCAGGCACAUCAUACUGAAAUUACUUAAAAGCACUAAUAACAGAAAAAAUGUUUAACAUAUUUUUAAAAUAGCUAUAGAUAAAAGGCAAAUUAUGUACAAUUGCAAAGACAAGAAUGACAAUAGACUUCUUGGAAACAAUACAAGCAGAAGACAGUGGAGCAACAUCUUUAAAAUAAUGAAAGGAAAAUUGUCACCUAGAAUUCAACACUCAGUGAAAAUAUCUUUCAAAAGCAAAAGUGAAAUUAAGAUUUUUUUCAGAUACAAAGUAGAAGAAUUCGUCACUAGCAGACUACUCUACAAGAAAUGUUAAAAGAAAUCCACCAGGUGGAAGAAGGUGAUAACAGAUAGAAAUCUGGAUCUACAUAAACCAUGAAGGACACUGGAAAUGAUAAACAUAUGUCGUAUGUGAAACAAUCAAGACAGUGCCUGAAGACAGUCUCAAAGGUAAUUUUGGUUGACAAAAACAUGUAGAACACAAAACACCCUUCUCUUAGCACAGCAUUACUUAGUCUUCUCCCAAUUUCAGUUCCCUCCCAACACAACGUUGACCAUAAUUCAUUUUAUCAACAAAUACUCACAGUGUUUAUUAUGUGUGAAAGCUAAGACAUCCUGGUUUUUCAGUUCUAUAAAUAAUAAUGCAAUGAGCAUCUGUGUAUACAAAAUUUCACUGUUAGCAGUGAAAUCCAUUUCAAUGUUAGCAAAGUCUUUAACAAAAUUUCAGUUCAAAUUACCAUGUGAAAAAUUAUGACUAUCAUAGUUAACAGAAUUAAUUGGUACAAGGGCAGUCUUCAUGAUAUUUCACAUUUUUCGGCAAAUAAAAUAGGAUGACAUAAUGGGUGAAGGUGUCCAAAAGGUACAAAGUUCCAGUAAUAAGUUAAAUAAGUCCUGGGGAUGUAAUGUACAGUUAAUAAUACUGUAGCAUAUACUGUCAUGAGCCACAUAAUGACAUUUUAGUCAACAAUGUACUGUAUAUAUGACUGUGGACCCAUAAGAUUAGUACUGUAUAGCCUAGGUGUGUAGUAGGCUAUACCAUCUAGGUUUGUGUGAGUCUGUGAUUUUUUCACUAGGACAAAAUUGCCUAAUGAUGCAUUUCUCAGAACGUAUCUUCAUCGUUAAGUAAAGCAUGACUGUAUUUGAAAGUUGCUAAGAGAGUAGAUCUUAAAAGUUCUCAUUAUAAGAAAAGAGUCUGGGGC
Molecule: long non-coding RNA, 1240 nt
Filed under: Equus caballus (horse)
Lineage: Eukaryota; Metazoa; Chordata; Mammalia; Perissodactyla; Equidae
Description: lncRNA (ENSECAG00000058026.1)
Source: RNAcentral